Molecule: ribosomal RNA, 393 nt
Filed under: uncultured bacterium
Lineage: Bacteria
Description: bacterial SSU rRNA
Rfam family: Bacterial small subunit ribosomal RNA
Source: RNAcentral
AUUGAACGCUGGCGGCAUGCUUUACACAUGCAAGUCGAACGCGGUUUGGGGGGCAACUCCUGACUGAGUGGCGAACGGGUGAGUAAUACAUCGGAACGUACCUCGUUGUGGGGGAUAACCCACCGAAAAGGUGGGCUAAUACCGCCAUACGCCCUGAGGGGGAAAGCGGGGGGACCUGAGAGGGCCUCGCGCGAUGGGAGCGGCCGAUGUCGGAUUAGCUAGUAGGUUGGGUAAAGGCUGACCUAGGCGACGAUCCGUAGCUGGUCUGAGAGGAUGAUCAGCCACACUGGGACUGAGACACGGCCCCAGACUCCUACGGGAGGCAGCAGUGGGGAAUUUUGGACAAUGGGCGUCAAGCCUGAUCCAGCCAUGCCGCGUGAGUGAAGAAGGCCU